Molecule: transfer RNA, 73 nt
Filed under: Firmicutes bacterium CAG:345
Lineage: Bacteria; Bacillati; Bacillota
Rfam family: tRNA
About the family: Transfer RNA (tRNA) molecules are approximately 80 nucleotides in length.
Source: Rfam by way of RNAcentral
GGAUGCUUAGCUCAGUUGGGAGAGCGUUUCUUUCACACGGAAGAGGUCACAAGUUCGAUCCUUGUAGUGUCCA